GGAGAUGUAGUUCAAUAGUAGAGUGUGUGCUUAGCAAGCACAAGGUCCUGGAUUCAAUCCACAGCACCA
This 69-nucleotide transfer RNA is filed under the name Heterocephalus glaber (naked mole-rat). It matches the Rfam family "tRNA". From Rfam's summary of the family: Transfer RNA (tRNA) molecules are approximately 80 nucleotides in length. Their secondary structure includes four short double-helical elements and three loops (D, anti-codon, and T loops). The record is from Rfam by way of RNAcentral. Lineage: Eukaryota; Metazoa; Chordata; Mammalia; Rodentia; Bathyergidae.